This 585-nucleotide ribosomal RNA is filed under the name uncultured fungus. RNAcentral describes it as "eukaryotic LSU rRNA". The stretch from base 187 to 340 matches the Rfam family "5.8S ribosomal RNA". Lineage: Eukaryota; Fungi. The record is from RNAcentral.
GUCGUAACAAGGUCUCCGUUGGUGAACCAGCGGAGGGAUCAUUAUCGAGUUAUUCAACUCCCAAACCCUAUGUGAACUUACCACUUGUUGCUUCGGCGCGCGCUUCGGCGCCGCCGAGGACACUUAAACUCUUUGUUUUUAUAAGCAUUUCUGAGUGGCCGAAAGGCAAAAAUACAAAUGAAUCAAAACUUUCAACAACGGAUCUCUUGGUUCUGGCAUCGAUGAAGAACGCAGCGAAAUGCGAUAAGUAAUGUGAAUUGCAGAAUUCAGUGAAUCAUCGAAUCUUUGAACGCACAUUGCGCCCGCCAGCAUUCUGGCGGGCAUGCCUGUUCGAGCGUCAUUUCAACCCUCGAGCCCGACUCUUUUGAGGACGGCUCGGCGUUGGGGGACGGCAGACUCCCCCCGGCAUCUCGCCGGGGACGCCGCCCCCGAAAUCUAGUGGCGGCCCUCCGAGGCGACCUCUGCGUAGUAACUUGUUCUCGCACCGGAAAGCUCAGAGCGGCCACGCCGUAAAACCCCAACUUUUUUCAGGUUGACCUCGAAUCAGGUAGGACUACCCGCUGAACUUAAGCAUAUCAAUAGUCG